Molecule: ribosomal RNA, 492 nt
Filed under: uncultured eukaryote
Lineage: Eukaryota
Description: partial 18S ribosomal RNA
Rfam family: Eukaryotic small subunit ribosomal RNA
Source: RNAcentral
CAAUAGCAUAUAUUAAAGUUGUUGCAGUUAAAAAGCUCGUAGUUGGAUUUUAGAGUAUAUUGGUAUAGUCCGCCUGAAUGGGUGUGUAUUGUAUUAAUAGCUCUCCUUACUAGAAAUUCAUAAUUGCACUUUAUUGGGUAGUUAUUUUCAUCCAGAAAUGGGUGGAGUGUUUUGCGGGUGACUGGGGUAGGAUUGUGGUAUUUUUACGGGGCGACCUGUGGAGAUAUCUGCCUAGCUUGGUUCCGUGAAAUAGAAUUCUAGUUCAUUUACUUUGAGUAAAUUAGAGUGUUCAAAGCAAACAAGAAUGUAAUGAAUACUAUUAGCAUGGGAUAAUGGAACAGGACGUUGGUUCUAUUUUAUUGGUUUCUAGAACUAAUGUAAUGAUUAAAAGGGAUAGUUGGGGGCAUUAGUAUUUAAUUGUCAGAGGUGAAAUUCUUGGAUUUAUGAAAGACUAACUUCUGCGAAAGCAUUUGUCAAAGAUGUUUUCAUUAA